This is a long non-coding RNA of Mercurialis annua (annual mercury), 970 nucleotides long. RefSeq lists it as uncharacterized. Lineage: Eukaryota; Viridiplantae; Streptophyta; Magnoliopsida; Malpighiales; Euphorbiaceae. The transcript is spliced from 2 exons. The record is from RefSeq and is a predicted model, not a curated record.
UAGGAAAAAAACAGAAAAUAUAUUUCACAAAAAAAAAACUAAACAGGGCUUAAGCUUCAUUCUCUGUGUUUUCAUUUCAUGUUUAUCUUCUAUGCUUCCAGUUGAUCAUUAUACCCAAAACCUUUAAACAAAAUUUUUUUAGCAUAUAUAUUGCUCUAAAACCCACUUUUCUCACAGCUCUGAAAUUUAUCAUCAGCUUGAAUUGUGUUGAAGAAAUGGCAGCCUUGGCUUCAGCAACUGCAAAACGCCAAGCCCUGAGUCUAACAGAUGCAGCCGCCUCUAGACUUCGCUAUUUACUUGAGCAGCGCCACCGCCCUUUUUUGACUAUUACAUUUCGGAAAUUUUAUUUAAAGAAUAAGAUCUGAAUUCAUUUUCAUAAAUCCUAACUCUAAAGGUCAAUGUGGUUGCGGAGAGUCUUUUAUGACCACGAGCACUUCAGCAGCUGCUAAACACCGCGGUAGGGGAUAAUUACAAAAUUUGUUUGUGAUUUCACUCUCAUGGUAAUCGCAUAUUCUACUCUAAUCAUGUGCAAAAACAAACUAAACAGCGAUGUGAGAAUCACUACGUAUGGAUUCCAUAAUUUAUCUUGUGUUUUCUUAGUAAAGAAAACGUGUAUAUGAUAUGGAAACUCGUACGUAUGACACUUUUACUGUAGAUACUCGUGUUCUUAAAGACUUUGUAACUAUAACAUUUAUAGCUAAUUGCACAGAAUAAAAGAGUUUCAGGAAUGUAUAUACAAACAAGUGGGAGAAAAUGGAUUGCGGAAGUCUGGUUGAUGCGCGACUGCCUACCUGCAAUGUAACUUUUUCAUUUUAGCCAGAAAAGGUUUUUCUUUUCUAGAUUCUGACCUACUAAAAGCUUAUCCUUGCAAAUUUACAAUAAGGGAGAUGAAUUUGUAUUUGACAGUCAGAUAGAAUUUAAAAAGGCUGGAAUUUGUUUCUUGUUAAAACCUUAUCUGUGCAUUUUUAUC